RNAcentral lists this ribosomal RNA (301 nucleotides) under uncultured bacterium. RNAcentral's name for it is "bacterial SSU rRNA". It matches the Rfam family "Bacterial small subunit ribosomal RNA", at positions 333 to 651 of the family's 1533-position model. The record is from RNAcentral.
CCUUGCCUACGGGAGGCAGCAGUGGGGAAUAUUGCACAAUGGGGGAAACCCUGAUGCAGCGACGCCGCGUGAGUGAAGAAGUAUUUCGGUAUGUAAAGCUCUGUCAGCAGGGAAGAAAAUGACGGUACCUGACCAAGAAGCCCCGGCUAACUACGUGCCAGCAGCCGCGGUAAUACGUAGGGGGCAAGCGUUAUCCGGAUUUACUGGGUGUAAAGGGAGCGUAGACGGCGAUGCAAGUCUGAAGUGAAAGGCGGGGGCCCAACCCCCGGACUGCUUUGGAAACUGUAUGGCUGGAGUGCAG